This 718-nucleotide long non-coding RNA is filed under the name Homo sapiens (human). Its description in RNAcentral is "long non-coding RNA NONHSAT145903.2". The record is from RNAcentral. Lineage: Eukaryota; Metazoa; Chordata; Mammalia; Primates; Hominidae.
CAGAAUCCAGCUAACGCUCCAGGGAAGUGGCCUGAGUCAGGGAAGCUAAGUGGUGAAGAGCACAGGCUGGUAGUCCUGCGAUUGAAGCCAGAAUGACCAGCUGUGUAACCAAAGGCAAGGUGCUGAACCUUUCUCUGCCUCAAUUCUCUCAUCUGCAAAAUGGGAAAUAAUAAUGAUCCCAACCUCAGAGAACUGAACAAGAUAAUACAUGAAGGUGCAUAUCAAAGAGUCUCACAUGCUCUGCUGGAUCACACAAAAGUUGGGAAGAGAAGGAUGUCAAUUAGACUACAUCAAAAUCUGGGCAGAGGGAGGACAAAGAGCUGCCUAAAGAAACUGGUAGCUGGAGCAAACUGCAGAGAUCAAGAUGACCCUAGUCAACGGAACCAGCAGCCCAGGUCAGCCACAUUCAGGAGCACCACCGAGGCACGGCAGGGAGAGCAAAGUUGCUGGCCCCAAUCAUUCCUCCUUUUCAGGGCAGGAGAGGCAGAAGCUCACUCUUUAGACAUGUUCUUGAUGGUCUUGUGCUCUUUCAUGGCCUUCUCCCAAUCGCUGCCAUUGAAUUCCUCAGUGACCAUACUCCGCACAGUGCCCUCAUCCAGGCAGUGGGGGGCAAUUCCUACGAGAAAGUGGCACAGACAAAGGGGGAUCCUCAGUAUGGGUGAGACCAGAUGGUGUACCGGCUCCUGGAUAAGCCCCCACCUGCAGGCAUCAUCACGCU